Dermochelys coriacea (leatherback sea turtle) is the source of this 114-nucleotide long non-coding RNA. RefSeq lists it as uncharacterized. The transcript is spliced from 3 exons. Lineage: Eukaryota; Metazoa; Chordata; Testudines; Dermochelyidae. The record is from RefSeq and is a predicted model, not a curated record.
CCUGCCCCAGCGGGGAAGGGGCAUGCUGGCAGCACAGGGCCAGGCAGGCCACUGUGCGUCUGGCAACCGCUGGUUUGUAAAUAGUUACCUCACAUUGGACUGGGUGGAGUUGGG